RNAcentral lists this long non-coding RNA (218 nucleotides) under Elaeis guineensis (African oil palm). RNAcentral's name for it is "long non-coding RNA (EGUI_LNC063965)". The record is from RNAcentral. Lineage: Eukaryota; Viridiplantae; Streptophyta; Magnoliopsida; Arecales; Arecaceae.
UUUAUAAUUUAGUAUCAUAUUAAUUUUUUUACCUAAAAUAUAGUAGAAUAGAAAUCAAAAUCUUCAAAAGAUUCUCAAAUCCAAUACCUCACGAGGUCUGAAAUCACAGGCCCUCUACUUCGCCUACACAGCAAGCUCCGUAGAGAAGAGGGAUGAUCUUCUUUACCUUAAUCCUUAGAAGGAAAGUGAAGGGAAGUUGAGAUCAAAUCUCACACCCC